Long non-coding RNA from Oreochromis niloticus (Nile tilapia), 834 nucleotides. RefSeq lists it as uncharacterized. The transcript is spliced from 2 exons. The record is from RefSeq and is a predicted model, not a curated record. NCBI's taxonomy places the organism in Eukaryota, Metazoa, Chordata, Actinopteri, Cichliformes, Cichlidae.
AACUGAUACCAUAAACUCAGCAGGAAACUGUUUAUUAAGCUCAGUGACUGGCUGAACGGGACGCUCAACUUCUCAUACACUUCUUUUAUAACCAAAGUCAUCGCCCCCUGCUGGAGAUUAGAAAGAAUGCAGCUGUAAUCUGAUUGGCCGCACCAUUAAAAAUUAAACCCGGAAGAAGAAAGCAGCUCAAACAUCCAGACGUAGGACCGGUGAUGGACUGGUGCUGUGAGCUCCAGGCACAGUAGAAACGUGUGGAACCAGAGCCACCCACACAACUGUUACAGCAGAAAAAAUACUUUUACAGCCCAGAUGCCUGAGCGAAUUGCAUAUUCUCUUGUUAUCAUGAUGAUUUAGUUCCAGUUUAAACGCACUUUUAGUCUUGUACUAAAUUCUGAUAUAUGAGUUUUGUGGUUUGCCUUCAUUAUGAUUUAUUACCUGAGGUUAUGUGCGUUACCUUUGUGAGUCUGUCGUGUUUUCGGUGUGUCGUAUAGCUACAUGUCUCUCUCGCCCCUCUGUGUCUUAGGUCUGCAUCUUUGUUUCCUGUUUUAUUUUGACAGUCUCGUGAUCCAUGUUCAGUGUGUUUAGUUUUGCUUCCCCUGUGGCGUCAUGUUCAUCUGUAUCAGCUGUGUUUCUACUCCCCUCGUCUCCUCUCUGUGUAUUUAGUGUGUGAGCUUUCUGUUAUUUUCAAGGUUUCCAUGCAUCCAGGCCAAGUUUCACGUUUAGGGUUUUUUCAUGUUUUUCCGGUUUAGGUUAUUGUUUGUCUUAUCUUGGUUCAUGUUUCCCCUUUGUUUUGUAGUUUUCUACCAGCCACAGUAAACGGCUCGCUUGUUGUUA